RNAcentral lists this ribosomal RNA (465 nucleotides) under uncultured bacterium. Its description in RNAcentral is "partial 16S ribosomal RNA". It matches the Rfam family "Bacterial small subunit ribosomal RNA", at positions 28 to 507 of the family's 1533-position model. The record is from RNAcentral.
GACGAACGCUGGCGGCGUGCUUAACACAUGCAAGUCGAACGGAAAGGCCCUGCUUGCAGGGUACUCGAGUGGCGAACGGGUGAGUAACACGUGGGUGAUCUGCCCUGCACUUCGGGAUAAGCCUGGGAAACUGGGUCUAAUACCGGAUAGGAGCCAUUUUUAGUGUGAUGGUUGGAAAGUUUUUUCGGUGUAGGAUGAGCUCGCGGCCUAUCAGCUUGUUGGUGGGGUAAUGGCCUACCAAGGCGGCGACGGGUAGCCGGCCUGAGAGGGUGGACUGCCACAUUGGGACUGAGAUACGGCCCAGACUCCUACGGGAGGCAGCAGUGGGGAAUAUUGCACAAUGGGCGCAAGCCUGAUGCAGCGACGCCGCGUGGGGGAUGACGGCCUUCGGGUUGUAAACUCCUUUCGCUAGGGACGAAGCUUUUUGUGACGGUACCUAGAUAAGAAGCACCGGCUAACUACGUG